GACGAACGCUGGCGGCGUGCUUAACACAUGCAAGUCGAACGGAAAGGCCCUGCUUUUGUGGGGUGCUCGAGUGGCGAACGGGUGAGUAACACGUGAGUAACCUGCCCUUGACUUUGGGAUAACUUCAGGAAACUGGGGCUAAUACCGGAUAGGAGCUCCUGCUGCAUGGUGGGGGUUGGAAAGUUUCGGCGGUUGGGGAUGGACUCGCGGCUUAUCAGCUUGUUGGUGGGGGAGGGCUUACCAAGGCUUUGACGGGUAGCCGGCCUGAGAGGGUGACCGGCCACAUUGGGACUGAGAUACGGCCCAGACGCCUACGGGAGGCAGCAGUGGGGAAUAUUGCACAAUGGGCGGAAGCCUGAUGCAGCAACGCCGCGUGCGGGAUGACGGCCUUCGGGUUGUAAACCGCUUUCGCCUGUGACGAAGCGUGAGUGACGGUAAUGGGUAAAGAAGCACCGGCUAACUACGUG
This 467-nucleotide ribosomal RNA is filed under the name uncultured bacterium. Its description in RNAcentral is "partial 16S ribosomal RNA". It matches the Rfam family "Bacterial small subunit ribosomal RNA", at positions 28 to 507 of the family's 1533-position model. The record is from RNAcentral.